GACGAACGCUGGCGGCGUGCUUAACACAUGCAAGUCGAACGGUGAAGCGCCUUCCUUUUUGGUGGGUGUGGAUGAGUGGCGAACGGAUGAGUAACACGUGAGUAACCUGCCCCCUUCUUCUGGAUAACCGCAUGAAAGUGUGGCUAAUACGGGAUAUUCUGGGUCUGUCGCAUGAUGGGUCUGGGAAAGAUAUUGUUUCGGUGGGGGAUGGGCUCGCGGCCUAUCAGCUUGUUGGUGUGGUGAUGGCCUACCAAGGCGGUGACGGGUAGCCGGCCUGAGAGGGUGGACGGUCACACUGGGACUGAGACACGGGCCAGACUCCUACGGGAGGCAGCAGUGGGGAAUAUUGCACAAUGGGCGCAAGCCUGAUGCAGCGACGCCGCGUGAGGGAUGGAGGCCUUCGGGUUGUGAACCUCUUUCGCCAGUGAAGCAGGCCUGCCUCGUUUGUGGGUGGGUUGACGGUAGCUGGAUAAGAAGCGCCGGCUAACUACGUG
Molecule: ribosomal RNA, 494 nt
Filed under: uncultured bacterium
Lineage: Bacteria
Description: partial 16S ribosomal RNA
Rfam family: Bacterial small subunit ribosomal RNA
Source: RNAcentral